Molecule: small RNA, 70 nt
Filed under: Flavobacterium subsaxonicum WB 4.1-42 = DSM 21790
Lineage: Bacteria; Pseudomonadati; Bacteroidota; Flavobacteriia; Flavobacteriales; Flavobacteriaceae
Description: Flavo-1 RNA
Rfam family: Flavo-1 RNA
Source: Rfam by way of RNAcentral
UCUUAGCCCCGAUUGAAACGGCAUCCUGCCAACCGUAGGACGGCAGAUAGAGCGCAAAGCGGGAAAUGCC